This 1479-nucleotide long non-coding RNA is filed under the name Citrus x clementina. RNAcentral describes it as "Citrus clementina (C. clementina) long non-coding RNA (CCLE_LNC000275)". Lineage: Eukaryota; Viridiplantae; Streptophyta; Magnoliopsida; Sapindales; Rutaceae. The record is from RNAcentral.
UUGUUCUAAAACAAAUAUAAAAUAUAAUACAUAUAAUAAAGAAAAUCCAAUAAAUAAGAAAAUGAAAUUUAUAUGUAUUCAAACUACAAUAUUCAUCUAACGAUCCAAACUAUAUCAUUAAAGUAUUCAUAACUGUUUCAACACUAUAUUUUCCAAAAUAUCCUAAUAUAAGUAACCACCGGCAGCAAAAUUCUUGUACCAAAAACCAAAGUCCGCUAAAAUUCUAGCAGUAAAUCACUUGUAGAGUCUUAGUAGUGAGAGGCCAGCAAUUAAUCCCUCCUCCGAUCACCACCACUCUUUUAUUCUUUCCUCUUCAUUUGUUCACCAUGCCCUUAAACGUUGCAUCUGCAAAUCCUUUAUAUGCAGACCUGAAUUAUAGCACCAUGAAAAAUUAAAAAAAAAAAGUUUAACAAGCAUUUUACUAUUUUUUUUAUCAAAGAAGCUUACCACGAGCAAAAUAUUUUAAGUAAAAAGAAUUGACAUUAACAUCUUCUAUUAAUGCUCACAUGUUAAACAUUUAUAUAACCUUAAGCAUCCAAAAAUGUCCCGGAAUCAAAUAACUUCCAUACUGCACUUGUCUGUAUAACACUGGAGCGAAAAAGAUAAGAAUUUUAAGCACAAUAAAAAAAAAUGAAGAUUUCAAUAAAAGAAAAUAAUUGAGCUGAAGUAACUACUACCUAAUCACAUGAAAAAAAUAUAUAUUAUAGGCAUUUCAUGUGUAGAUGCAUUAUUCCAUUUCCAAACAAAAUCAAACUGUAAAUGCACCCAAACACUUAGACAGCUUGAUGCAAAGAGAUGAGUGGUUUAAAUCACGAUUUUAAAUUAUUCAUGAAGUAGAAAAAUGCAAAAUCGAAGUAAACUACAACAACAGAGUGCACUGGAAAUGCAAGUUGAAAUUAUGCCUUGCGUAUUAAAAUAUAGUUAAAGCAAAUUGAAGAAAUUCAAGCCGGUGCUCUUCUAUGUGUUUUGAAGGAGGUUCUGUUUCAAUAAAAGACUAGUUAAUAGAGUGGGGAUAUUGUUUGAAGCAAAUAAUACAUGUAAACAUACGCAUGCAUCCAAUUCAGGUUGGGUAACACCAAAUGCUGCUAGUUAUAUAAAUUUUUUAACGGCAAUGUUAGGCCGACUCUUCAUUAAAGCCUCAAGCGAAAACACUAAAGGGUGUGUUUGGUUGGAGGAUUAAAAGUGGGAAUUGGACUCUUUUUUUUAAAAUUUAUCCUAGUCUCAUGUUUUGAGCUUUCAAGAGUAUUAUGGUGCGUUUACUUCAUGGAAUGAGAAUGUGGUAGAAUGGGAACCGGCUCGAAAUAGGAAUGAACUGGAAUAAUAAUGAGAUUUCAAUGUUUACUUGGCAAAAAUAAAUGAAAAUGAGAAUGUGUUGAAAUGUCAUUGAUGUGUUUACUCGGCAAAAUAAAUGGGAACGAGGAAUGAAAAUGAAAAUUAAUUUAUCAAAAUACCCAUAGUAUUAAAUAAUGUAAUUUUCAU